AGCGAACGCUGGCGGCAGGCCUAACACAUGCAAGUCGAACGAACCUUGCGGGGUUAGUGCCGUACUGGUGAGUAACGCGUAGGAACGUGCCUUUAGGUUCGGAAUAACUCAGGGAAACUUGUGCUACUACCGAAUGUGCCCUUCGGGGGGAAGAUUUAUCGCCUUUAGAGCGGCCCGCGACUGAUUAGCUAGUUGGUUGAGGUAAUGGCUCACCAAGGCGACGGUCGGUAGCUGGUCAGUGAGGAUCAGCAGCGACAUUGGGACUGAGACACAGCCCAAACUCCUACGGGAGGCAGCAGUGGGGAAUCUUGCGCAACGGGCGAAAGGCUGACGCAGCUAUGCCGCGUGAAUGAUGAUGGUCUUAGGAUUGUAAAAUUCUUUCACCGGGGACGAUAAUGACGGUACCCGGAGAAGAAGCCCCGGCUAACUUCGUG
Molecule: ribosomal RNA, 434 nt
Filed under: uncultured bacterium
Lineage: Bacteria
Description: partial 16S ribosomal RNA
Rfam family: Bacterial small subunit ribosomal RNA
Source: RNAcentral